CCCUUAGAUGUUCUGGGCCGCACGCGCGCUACACUGUUCGACGCAGCGAGUCUUAACCUUGACCGAAAGGUUUGGGUAAUCUUCAGCAAAGUCGAACGUGAUGGGGAUCGAUCAUUGCAAUUAUUGAUCGUGAACGAGGAAUUCCUAGUAAGUGCAAGUCAUCAGCUUGCGCUGAUUACGUCCCUGCCCUUUGUACACACCGCCCGUCGCUACUACUGAUUGGACGUUUAAGCAAGAUUUUUAAACACUGACAGUUAAUGGCUUCGGCCAAGACACAGUGAGAAGAAGAAGAUCGAGCUUACUUGUCUAGAGGAAGUAAAAGUCGUAACA
This 330-nucleotide ribosomal RNA is filed under the name uncultured eukaryote. Its description in RNAcentral is "partial 18S ribosomal RNA". It matches the Rfam family "Eukaryotic small subunit ribosomal RNA", at positions 1470 to 1796 of the family's 1831-position model. The record is from RNAcentral.